AGUGAACGCUGGCGGCAGGCCUAACACAUGCAAGUCGAACGGCAGCACAGCAGUAGCAAUACUGUGGGUGGCGAGUGGCGGACGGGUGAGGAAUACAUCGGAAUCUGCCCGGUCGUGGGGGAUAACAUAGGGAAACUUAUGCUAAUACCGCAUACGACCUACGGGUGAAAGCGGGGGAUCGCAAGACCUCGCGCGAUUGGAUGAGCCGAUGUCCGAUUAGCUAGUUGGCGGGGUAAUGGCCCACCAAGGCGACGAUCGGUAGCUGGUCUGAGAGGAUGAUCAGCCACACUGGAACUGAGACACGGUCCAGACUCCUACGGGAGGCAGCAGUGGGGAAUAUUGGACAAUGGGCGCAAGCCUGAUCCAGCCAUGCCGCGUGGGUGAAGAAGGC
This 391-nucleotide ribosomal RNA is filed under the name uncultured bacterium. RNAcentral's name for it is "bacterial SSU rRNA". It matches the Rfam family "Bacterial small subunit ribosomal RNA", at positions 29 to 415 of the family's 1533-position model. The record is from RNAcentral.